GCCAGCAGCCAUAUCACUCUGCAGCUCUCAACUGGCUACCCACUGAAGCUCAGCAGGGUUGAGCCUGGUCAGUACCUGGAUGGGAGACCUCCUGUGAAGCUCUGGUUGCUGCUGGAA
This 117-nucleotide ribosomal RNA is filed under the name Lepisosteus oculatus (spotted gar). The record is from RNAcentral. Lineage: Eukaryota; Metazoa; Chordata; Actinopteri; Semionotiformes; Lepisosteidae.